Molecule: ribosomal RNA, 397 nt
Filed under: uncultured bacterium
Lineage: Bacteria
Description: partial 16S ribosomal RNA
Rfam family: Bacterial small subunit ribosomal RNA
Source: RNAcentral
AUACGUAGGGGGCGAGCGUUGUCCGGAAUGAUUGGGCGUAAAGGGCGCGUAGGCGGCGCGGUAAGUCUGGAGUGAAAGUCCUGCUUUCAAGGUGGGAAUUGCUUUGGAUACUGCCGCGCUUGAGUGCAGGAGAGGUUAUCGGAAUUCCCGGUGUAGCGGUGAAAUGCGUAGAGAUCGGGAGGAACACCAGUGGCGAAGGCGGGUAACUGGACUGCAACUGACGCUGAGGCGCGAAAGUGAGGGGAGCAAAUAGGAUUAGAUGCCCUGGUAGUCCACACUGUAAACGAUGAAUGCAAGGUGUAAUAGGUAUCGACCCCAUUUGUGCCGGAGUCCACACAAUAAGCAUUCCGCCUGGGGAGUACGGCCGCAAGGUGGAAACUCAAAGGAAUUGACGGGG